This 691-nucleotide ribosomal RNA is filed under the name uncultured Alphaproteobacteria bacterium. Its description in RNAcentral is "bacterial SSU rRNA". It matches the Rfam family "Bacterial small subunit ribosomal RNA", at positions 608 to 1300 of the family's 1533-position model. Lineage: Bacteria; Pseudomonadati; Pseudomonadota; Alphaproteobacteria. The record is from RNAcentral.
CUCAACCUCGGAACUGCCUUUUGAACUACACAUCUGGAGUCUUGGAGGGGAGUGCGGAAUUCCUAAUGUAGAGGUGAAAUUCGUAGAUAUUAGGAGGAACACCGAUGGCGAAGGCAGCACUCUGGACAAGCACUGACGCUGAGAUGCGAAAGCGUGGGGAGCAAACAGGAUUAGAUACCCUGGUAGUCCACGCCGUAAACGAUGGAUGCUAGCCGUCGGGACGGUGGUCUCGGUGGCGCCGCUAACGCAUUAAGCAUCCCGCCUGGGGAGUACGGUCGCAAGAUUAAAACUCAAAGGAAUUGACGGGGACCCGCACAAGUGGUGGAGCAUGUGGUUUAAUUCGAGACAACGCGAAGAACCUUACCAGGGCUUGACAUGCCCGUCGCGGUUAGCAGAGAUGCUUUCCUUCAGCUAGGCUGGACGGUGCACAGGUGCUGCACGGCUGUCGUCAGCUCGUGUCGUGAGGUGUUGGGUUAAGUCCCGCAACGAGCGCAACCCUCAUUCUUAGUUGCUAACAUUUAGUUGAGAACUCUAAGAAAACUGCUGGAGUUAAUCCGGAGGAAGGUGGGGAUGACGUCAAGUCUUCAUGGCCCUUAUGUCCUGGGCUACACACGUGCUACAAUGGUGGUGACAGAGGGCAGCGAUACGGCAACGUAAAGCUAAUCCCUAAAAGCCAUCUCAGUUCGGAUUG